GAGGAGGGAGGAGUGGAGAGGACAGGGGCCUUGCUCUCCCCUCCCCAACUUGUUCCUCUUGCCCCCAGUCCCUGGCAAUCCAGAGUUCCCGAUAUCUAGGACUGUCCAUCCAUCCACUCCCUGACCUUUUCCCGUCUCCUGGCUGCAGCCAUGGAGUUGCAGAAGGGAAAAGGGGCAGCAGCAGCAGCAGCAGCUGCUUCGGGAGCAGCGGGAGGUGGAGGAGGAGGAGCGGGAGCAGGAGCCCCAGGAGGGGGGAGGCUGCUACUUUCAACCAGUUUGGAUGCCAAGGAUGAGUUAGAGGAGAGAUUGGAAAGGUGUAUGAGCAUUGUGACAUCGAUGACUGCUGGUGUCUCCGAGAGAGAAGCCAACGAUGCCCUCAAUGCCUAUGUGUGCAAAGGCCUCCCCCAGCAUGAAGAAAUCUGCCUGGGCCUGUUUACUCUCAUCCUCACUGAACCUGCCCAAGCCCAGAAGUGUUACCGGGACUUAGCUCUGGUGAGUCGUGAUGGCAUGAAUAUUGUCCUGAAUAAAAUCAACCAGAUACUUAUGGAGAAGUACCUGAAGCUGCAGGAUACCUGCCGUACUCAGGUAAGGCCAGAAAGAAAAGACAAGAUCCAGCUCAAAGAGAGAGGAUGGAUCUUCUCUCUGUCAGGAACGGGAAAGAGGAAUCAGGGCUAACACACCCCUAUCAUUGUGUGUCUAAAUUGUAAUGUGUUCCUUUCAGUUGUAAUUGAAUUAGCUCCCUUCUCAAACUCACAGUUCCUGCUCUUCAUCUGUUUUUCCCUCUUUCCUUUAGUUGGUGUGGUUGGUACGGGAACUGGUGAAGAGUGGGGUUCUGGGAGCCGAUGGUGUUUGUAUGACGUUUAUGAAGCAAAUUGCAGGUGAGUUUGAUGGCAGGAGCAUAAAGAAGAAAGGAGGAGAGCCCAGAGACUAAACAGAGACAAUGGAGAAUGAUUAAGUGCCAAAGGGACGGAAUUCCUGGAUUGCUUAGACUGUUUCCUUCUGAUACAGACAUCUUCUGGCCACAUAUGUUGUAGAAAUAAAUUAAUUGAAAAAUCAUGGGGGGCCUUUUAAAGCAGUAAGUCUUGCCUCAUUUUCUUUCCUGCUAAACCCAGGGCUUGACAGAAUAUUUGGCCUAUUUUAGCCAGUCUUCUCUCUGAGAUUUUAUAGUAUUUCAGAGCAGGAAGAAAUGGGGAGAGAAGUGAGGGCAAAUAAUUUGUUCCCAAGUCCCUGUGCUUUCAGAAACCUAGACAUCUUCCCUGGUUCCACCCCCAUUAUCUGAACGCUUGCUCCCUAAUAAUUAAGCCCUUUACUGGGGCCAGAAUGAGGGACAAACUAUGUCACAAAACAGACCCUGACAUUUAGGUUUUAUUCUCAUCUUGGCAUCGAUGACAUCUGUCUGAGCCAUCGCAUAUUCAAGCGGCUACUCCCAAGAUUGCAUGUGUUUGUUUAAAAGUGACCUGCUACUACCUCACCAUUAGCCCACUGGGGCUUGCUUCCUCUUUAAAAUUUUAUGUAACACUGAUGCUCCUGUUUUGAUGUGUAUGAACCUUAAUCUAUGUGAUAUGUGACUUUGUGAACAUUGAAUUUUUUAAUUGAGACCCGGGGCAAGGCAUAGCUGUGGCUAUCUUUAUCCUCUUUCCUGACACUUUCUUCCCUGUUUGGCACUCCCAGCCCCCGCUUCUUAUCCCAAGACUGGUCUGGCAUUACUGUGUGUUAAUUCUGCCCCACAAAGUUUCAUAGCAAGCACUGAAGACUGUUACCUGGAAAUAAGAAACUCUUGGCCUGUUGGGGGCCUCAGUGCAGGACUCAGGACAUCCAGUUGCUAGACUGCAGCCGUUGUCAGCCACCUGUACUUCUCAGGCUCUAUCUGAGAUAUCAUCCUUUCUUUCCAACUGUGGGCUUCUUAUAUCUACUUCUCAGACGUUCAUUUUCAAGGGCCAAAAUGUUCCCACUCCAACUCACAAUCUGUGGGAAAGUAGCAGCUCUGGUUUCUAGAAAAAUUCAGAACCUUCCCUUUCCUUCUUUCUAGAGGCAAAGGGUGAAACUUUAAAGCCUGACAGAACAGAAGGCAGUUUAUCUCAGCAGUGAAGGGAUGGCAGUGAUGGGAUGGCAGUCAGGGUGGACCAGCAGAAUGGGUGAAGAGAUGUAUUGGAUUGGCUGACUUGCUAAUCGGAGCUAUUCUUUUUUUCUCCUUUUGAAAUCAGGUGGAGAUGUUACAGCCAAAAAUAUCUGGUUGGCAGAAAGUGUUCUGGAUAUCCUGACAGAGCAAAGGGAGUGGGUCCUGAAGAGCAGCAUCCUCAUUGCCAUGGCUGUUUACACGUACCUCCGCCUCAUCGUGGACCACCAUGGGACUGCCCAGCUCCAGGCCCUGCGACAGAAGGAAGUAGACUUCUGCAUCUCACUGCUUCGGGAACGGUUCAUGGAAUGUCUGAUGAUUGGUCGGGAUCUCGUAAGACUACUUCAGAAUGUUGCUAGGAUACCAGAAUUUGAACUGCUUUGGAAAGAUAUUAUCCAUAAUCCUCAGGCCUUGAGUCCUCAGUUCACAGGCUGGAGUGCAAUGGCGUGACCUCAGCUCACUGCAACCUCCACCUCCUGGGUUCAAGCAAUUCUCCCGCCUCAGCCUCCCAGGUAGCUGGGAUUACAGGCACCCGCCAUCAUGCCCAGGUAUCCUACAGCUUCUUCAGUCAAGAACAUCCCGAAAAUUCCUAGCAUGUCGUCUAACCCCAGACAUGGAGACUAAACUCCUCUUCAUGACAUCCCGGGUGCGAUUUGGUCAACAAAAGCGAUACCAAGAUUGGUUCCAGCGCCAGUACCUGUCAACUCCAGAUAGUCAGUCUCUGCGCUGUGACCUCAUUCGCUACAUCUGUGGGGUAGUCCACCCUUCUAAUGAAGUACUGAGUUCAGAUAUCUUGCCCCGGUGGGCCAUCAUUGGUUGGCUCCUGACAACGUGCACGUCAAAUGUCGCUGCCUCCAAUGCCAAGCUGGCUUUGUUUUACGACUGGCUGUUCUUUAGUCCAGACAAGGAUAGCAUUAUGAACAUAGAACCAGCCAUCCUGGUCAUGCACCACUCCAUGAAGCCCCACCCAGCCAUCACUGCCACACUCCUGGAUUUCAUGUGCCGCAUCAUUCCCAACUUCUAUCCACCAUUGGAGGGCCAUGUGCGGCAGGGUGUCUUUUCCUCCCUCAACCACAUUGUGGAGAAACGGGUCUUGGCACACCUAGCUCCCCUGUUUGACAACCCUAAGUUGGAUAAGGAGCUGCGGGCAAUGCUGAGGGAGAAGUUUCCUGAGUUCUGCAGCUCACCCUCCCCACCUGUGGAAGUCAAAAUUGAGGAGCCAGUUUCCAUGGAGAUGGACAACCAUAUGUCGGAUAAGGAUGAGAGUUGCUAUGACAAUGCAGAGGCAGCCUUCAGUGACGAUGAAGAGGAUCUCAACAGCAAAGGAAAGAAGAGGGAGUUUCGCUUCCACCCUAUCAAGGAGACAGUUGUGGAGGAGCCAGUUGAUAUCACCCCUUACCUUGACCAGUUGGAUGAGUCCCUGAGGGACAAAGUACUCCAGCUACAGAAGGGGAGUGAUACGGAGGCCCAGUGUGAGGUCAUGCAGGAAAUUGUGGACCAGGUCCUGGAGGAAGACUUUGACUCGGAGCAGCUGUCUGUCCUUGCUUCCUGCCUACAGGAGCUCUUCAAGGCCCACUUUCGAGGGGAGGUCCUGCCCGAGGAGAUUACUGAGGAGUCCCUGGAGGAGUCUGUAGGAAAGCCUCUGUACCUAAUAUUUAGGAACCUAUGUCAGAUGCAGGAAGACAACAGCAGCUUCUCUCUGCUUCUAGACCUUCUCUCCGAGCUAUAUCAGAAGCAGCCCAAGAUUGGCUACCACCUGCUCUACUACCUGAGGGCCAGCAAAGCCGCCGCAGGGAAGAUGAACCUGUACGAGUCAUUUGCCCAGGCUACCCAGCUGGGCGAUCUGCAUACCUGCCUGAUGAUGGACAUGAAGGCCUGCCAGGAGGACGAUGUGCGGCUCCUGUGCCACCUCACACCCUCCAUCUACACAGAGUUUCCAGAUGAAACCUUGAGGAGCGGAGAGCUGCUGAACAUGAUCGUGGCUGUUAUUGACUCUGCACAGCUCCAGGAGCUGGUCUGCCACGUGAUGAUGGGUAACCUGGUUAUGUUUCGAAAAGACUCAGUUCUCAACAUACUCAUUCAGAGCCUAGACUGGGAGACCUUUGAGCAGUAUUGUGCCUGGCAGCUCUUUCUGGCCCACAAUAUUCCCCUGGAGACCAUAAUCCCCAUCCUGCAGCACCUCAAAUACAAGGAGCACCCAGAGGCCCUGUCCUGCCUACUGCUUCAACUCCGAAGAGAAAAGCCCAGCGAGGAGAUGGUGAAGAUGGUGCUGAGCCGGCCCUGCCAUCCUGAUGACCAGUUCACCACCAGCAUCCUGCGGCACUGGUGCAUGAAACAUGACGAGCUGCUGGCCGAGCACAUCAAGUCCCUGCUCAUCAAGAACAACAGCCUGCCUCGCAAGAGACAGAGCCUGAGGAGCUCUAGCAGCAAGCUGGCCCAGCUGACUCUGGAGCAGAUCCUGGAGCACUUGGACAACCUGCGGCUCAACCUGACCAACACCAAGCAGAACUUUUUUAGCCAGACCCCAAUUCUCCAGGCGCUGCAGCAUGUCCAGGCGAGCUGUGACGAAGCCCACAAGAUGAAAUUCAGUGAUCUCUUCUCCCUGGCGGAGGAAUAUGAGGACUCUUCCACCAAGCCACCCAAGAGCCGGCGAAAAGCAGCUCUGUCCAGCCCUCGAAGUCGAAAGAAUGCCACACAGCCUCCCAAUGCCGAAGAAGAGUCGGGCUCCAGCAGUGCUUCAGAAGAGGAAGACACGAAACCGAAGCCUACCAAGCGGAAACGAAAAGGGUCCUCUGCAGUGGGCUCUGACAGUGACUGAGGCCCUGCAUUCCCCAUCCCACCCCCAGCUGGACUGCCCUCUCCUUCUUGGUGAUUCAAAGGUUAAUAGAGGCUGAGGAGAUUGCAGGGGAAACACCCUUGCUGCAUCCCCAAGCUCCCCCGGUGGAAGGAGGAGCUUUCUCCUGUGGCUGAGUUUGAGAAGCUGCCAUGCAGCCCUAGCCCCUUCCCUCCUCCUGGGGCCUCCAGCCCCUCACACUGCUGUUCCCAGUGAUAUUUGGGAUCUGACUGAAGCCAGAGGCUCUGUAAAAUCAGACCAUAGUGGAAGUCCUCAGCCCCCUGGCCUCUUCCCCAGUCUCUUCCCCCAGUCUCCCAAAGAGCCAUUUCAACAGAGAAGGGAAAUGACAAAGGGGCAGCUGGCCAGAUAAGCUAGGAUGAGAGCAGAGACUCAGUGUGUGGGUGUCCCUUCCCGCUUCCCCUUCGGGUCUUGGUUUGUUCUGAAGGGGCGUUUUAUAAUCACUAUCCACAUGCCAGUGUGAAAUGGGCAUCUAUGACGUGGUCAGGGUGUCCAUUCCUAAUCAUGGGGCAGAUGCCACAAGUAUUCAGAAAGGAGUCUGAAAGGGUGGCCACAGCCCCACGUGGUGUGCCCUGGAGGCUUAGGUUGGCCUGAGGUUGGCACCUCAACCUACACCAGAGCCCAGGGAGUCCCAGAGGCAAGUUUCACAGAAUUGUCAUAUGAUCCCAUUUCCUUGAGUCUUUUUUUUUUUUUUUUUUUGGCAGAGAUAAUCGUGUCUUAAAAGUUGUUUUUAAAUGACAAUAAAACAAGCCACAAUGUC
Molecule: small RNA, 5727 nt
Filed under: Pongo abelii (Sumatran orangutan)
Lineage: Eukaryota; Metazoa; Chordata; Mammalia; Primates; Hominidae
Description: retained intron
Source: RNAcentral